Molecule: long non-coding RNA, 289 nt
Organism: Condylura cristata (star-nosed mole)
Lineage: Eukaryota; Metazoa; Chordata; Mammalia; Eulipotyphla; Talpidae
Exons: 3
Source: RefSeq, a predicted model, not a curated record
ACUAGCCCAGUUCACGCCUUGACUUGUAUUCCUUUUGCAUCCCCACCUAGUUCGCUGCCUGGCGGAUGACACACCUAUAUUACAUAUCCGCACAUAUGUGGCCAAAGGAACGCCUCCAUAUUUUCUAAAGGGCCUAGAGAGCACAUAGCAAGUGCCAUGAUGUUGUGUGGGCCACUUUGGUGAAUUACUGGAAGAUGGCAGCUCCAGCUGAAAGGAAGCUAGCACAUAUCCUUUAUGCUUUCUACUCCUUCUCUUCAUCCUGACUGGAGUGUUUGGAGCCCAGCAUCCA